RNAcentral lists this ribosomal RNA (274 nucleotides) under uncultured bacterium. RNAcentral describes it as "partial 16S ribosomal RNA". It matches the Rfam family "Bacterial small subunit ribosomal RNA", at positions 523 to 796 of the family's 1533-position model. The record is from RNAcentral.
AUACGGAGGGUGCAAGCGUUAUUCGGAAUCACUGGGCGUAAAGGACGCGUAGGCGGGUUGGCAAGUCAGAUGUGAAAUCCUACAGCUUAACUGUAGAACUGCAUUUGAAACUGCUAACCUAGAGUAUGGGAGGGGGAGAUGGAAUUAGUGGUGUAGGGGUAAAAUCCGUAGAUAUCACUAGGAAUACCGAAAGCGAAGGCGAUCUCCUGGAACACAACUGACGCUAAGGCGUGAAAGCGUGGGGAGCAAACAGGAUUAGAAACCCUAGUAGUCC